GUGGGGAAUAUUGGACAAUGGGCGCAAGCCUGAUCCAGCCAUGCCGCGUGAGUGAUGAAGGCCUUAGGGUUGUAAAGCUCUUUCAGUGGGGACGAUAAUGACGGUACCCACAGAAGAAGCCCCGGCUAACUUCGUGCCAGCAGCCGCGGUAAUACGAAGGGGGCUAGCGUUGUUCGGAUUUACUGGGCGUAAAGCGCACGUAGGCGGAUCGUUAAGUCGGGGGUGAAAUCCUGGAGCUCAACUCCAGAACUGCCUUCGAUACUGGCGAUCUUGAGUCCGGAAGAGGUGAGUGGAACUCCUAGUGUAGAGGUGGAAUUCGUAGAUAUUAGGAAGAACACCAGUGGCGAAGGCGGCUCACUGGUCCGGUACUGACGCUGAGGUGCGAAAGCGUGGGGAUCGAACAGGAUUAGAAACCCCAGUAGUCC
Molecule: ribosomal RNA, 425 nt
Filed under: uncultured bacterium
Lineage: Bacteria
Description: partial 16S ribosomal RNA
Rfam family: Bacterial small subunit ribosomal RNA
Source: RNAcentral